GUAAGGAGUUGAAAAACCCUUAGGUUUCACUCACUUGCACCCACCUAUCUUCCGAAAACCUAACCCCUCUCACAACUUCGAUCAUCUCUCGCCUUCUCCAUCACUGCCGGCGUCCCUCAUUCUCUUCCUCUACCCGAUUGGGAGAGGACAGGCUCCCUCUUCCGCCUCCAUCUCAUCUACAGCCGACGCUAAUGCACACAAUAGGAGCUUCAUCCCAGAAUCCGCAGGUCAUCUCAUCUCCUCUACCAUCUUCCUCGCCGUUGAUGGCAAGGUCUUCUCACAGAGCUUCCAGAUCUGAAAGCCAUCUCACGGUGCCUUCAUCUUUAACCCACAGCUUCUUCCAAUUGGGAGAGGCGCCACCACCGAACUCUACAUCACCCUCUCCUGAUUAGUAGAGGUUUCUUCGCCACCACUAGUUUCCUUCCACCUCUCCAUUUCGGAUUUGAAGAGUAAAGCUUCAGCACUAGACAGCAGCCCCUCUCCUCUUCGGAUUUGAAGAGGAGAGUUCUUAUCUGAACUUAUCGUUUGACUGGAAGACCAACUCACAUCGUAAACUAUUUUUGCUAUUUUUUAAUCACCUGUAAUCGUUUUAUCAGUGUAGAUGCUGCCAUGUUAUUUCUAGAUAGGUUAAGUGAAUUGGUUUUCUUGAUUGAAAUUGGCUAUGACUGGACGUUGCUUUGGCAGAAUUAGCACUGACACACCCAAUUCGGCUAGGUUUGGCCCUAAAUUUGUCGGUCUAUUCUAGGAUGAGAUUUUGAAUUCGCCAGACAAGUCUUGUUCUCUUGCCAAGAAGACAUUGAUAAGCGAAGAGGAGGAAGAAGCACUACUUGAUCAGAAUAUGGAGGAUCAAGAUGCAGAAUAUAGAAAAAUAAAAGUCCAUGGCUGCAUAUAUCAAGAGAGAGGUUUGUUCUGCCUUGGUGCAACUUAUAGAAGUUCGACCAUCAUUCCUAGAGUGCCUUUUCAGAUAUUUUGAAGGUGAAUGGAGGUAUUCAAAAACUCCAGCUAAAUAGCUCGGGCAUGGAUGAUUACAGGAGCAAUAACUACAUGCUAUGUGGCACUGCAUCCGAACCUCAUGGGUGUGAUUGGGAAGUACUUCGACGAAGAACUAUCAAGAAGGCUUUGGGAUUUAAGUGAGAAUAUGGUUAAAGUCAAUGAGUAAAGAACAUUCAAGUCAAGAGGAUAAGUAGCAUCUAUAAAGAUCCUUUAAGUUCAUGCAAUAAGAUGUAGACGAUAGAAGUAGUUUUCAGUGUCUCCUAAUUAAAAUUUCUUUGUAUGCAAGUAAUUAUGCUUGUUAUAAAGUGUAUGGAUGAUAAUUUAUAUAUUUAUCUUGGUUGUUUAUUUAA
This is a long non-coding RNA of Zingiber officinale, 1343 nucleotides long. RefSeq lists it as uncharacterized. Lineage: Eukaryota; Viridiplantae; Streptophyta; Magnoliopsida; Zingiberales; Zingiberaceae. The transcript is spliced from 4 exons. The record is from RefSeq and is a predicted model, not a curated record.